Molecule: ribosomal RNA, 429 nt
Filed under: Chloroflexota bacterium
Lineage: Bacteria; Bacillati; Chloroflexota
Description: Chloroflexi bacterium partial 16S ribosomal RNA
Rfam family: Bacterial small subunit ribosomal RNA
Source: RNAcentral
UGGGGAAUAUUGCACAAUGGGCGCAAGCCUGAUGCAGCCAUGCCGCGUGUAUGAAGAAGGCCUUCGGGUUGUAAAGUACUUUCAGCGGGGAGGAAGGGAGUAAAGUUAAUACCUUUGCUCAUUGACGUUACCCGCAGAAGAAGCACCGGCUAACUCCGUGCCAGCAGCCGCGGUAAUACGGAGGGUGCAAGCGUUAAUCGGAAUUACUGGGCGUAAAGCGCACGCAGGCGGUUUGUUAAGUCAGAUGUGAAAUCCUCGGGCUCAACCUGGGAACUGCAUCUGAUAAUGGCAAGCUUGAGUCUCGUAGAGGGGGGUAGAAUUCCAGGUGUAGCGGUGAAAUGCGUAGAGAUCUGGAGGAAUACCGGUGGCGAAGGCGGCCCCCUGGACGAAGACUGACGCUCAGGUGCGAAAGCGUGGGGAGCAAACAGG